RNAcentral lists this long non-coding RNA (287 nucleotides) under Helianthus annuus (common sunflower). Its description in RNAcentral is "sRNA HanXRQr2_Chr01g0024151". The record is from RNAcentral. Lineage: Eukaryota; Viridiplantae; Streptophyta; Magnoliopsida; Asterales; Asteraceae.
UUGAAUAAGAUGAAGGGUAAUUUUGUCAUUUCACAUACACUUAACGGAGAAAACUAAUGGACAUCCACUCCAGGGACUAUCCAAGUAACAAACUGUCAAACCACAGGGAGCACCGGUGUAAUUUCCAAAAGUUGGGGACAAUAGGUGUUACUUUGCAAAACCACAGAGACUAUCCGUGCAUUUUACUCUUUCUAUAAAAAAAAGAGCGUGAAACAUGGGUAAGAGCGCGUGAUUGGGUGAAGACACGGGGUUUAGAGAGAAAGCGUAUUAAUGAACCAUAUUUGAUC